UUGGAGGGCACAAUAAUAACAUUUGCUUCUUUUUCUGUGUUGUCAGUAGCUACUUAAUGUCUAGAUCUAUCGAUUCUUAGAGAUUGCCAGUGAUAUUCUAAUUCCAUCAUUUAAAAAAUGUAUUAGUUGGGAUAAUUUAUACAAGACACUUCUCUCAUAUAUUAUUUGGUUACCUGGUAGUACAGUUCAUAUAGGAAAAGCAGCAUAAUAAAUGCUUGGUUACAACUGAUUCCCUACCAGCCUCUGAAGGCAAUCAGUUUUAAAAAAAAAAAACUAAUACUUUUUGCUCUCAUAUUCCAUACUAUAGAUGAUUCAUUGAAAUUAACGGCAAUGCUGAUAAUACUUUCUACUAUUUCUUGAGUGCCUACUAUGUGCCAAGCAUUUUGCCUGAUACUUAUCACAAUGUAAGAUGCAAAAGCUUUUGAUAUGUGUAUCAUCAACACCUUUAACCCUGGUUAACUCCUCACCUACCAACCAUCUUAAAAGUUAUAAUGAGAAAGUGAUACUACAAUCUGUACUGAAUUAUAAGCACUGCCACUGGGUUAGGAGAUGUUCAGUCAUCUGUAAUUAAAGUGAAUCUGAAUGUGUUUAUUUUACUUGUUAUUUGCCCACAGAUUCACAUUGUUCCCAUUUUGCAAGUGUGCUGUGCCUGCUUUUAACUUUUCAUAUUUGAAGGAAAGUCAGUCCUUAAAAAUUAAAAGUAAAAAAUUACAGACUUUCAAUAAAGUUUAAAGGGAUCCAUUUUAACCUUAAAUCAGGAAAAAAGAAGGCAAAAUGAGUCACGAAGCUGACAGAGUAGAAGAUGGAAAGAGCCUAAAGAGGACUUGCCACCCAAUGUGACAGUGCAGGACAGUGUCUGAUAAACAGAAUGAGGAUCCAGGGCAAAGAGGAACAAUAAGAAUUCUUCAAAGGAAACACUGAGCAGAACUGGAAGGGCAACCUCUGAUGUAUCCAUCUUAAUACACUGCUUCCAUUAAAUGACAUCUGUAUUUCCUGACCAAGAGUUGGAAGACCUUCGAUAUAUUAAGAUCCAUGGUAUCCCUUCUUGCAAAAGUAUAUUGGCAUCAAAGGACUGCGUAAUAUUCUAAAAGGGGAAUGUGGAAACCUCACCUCCAGAAGAACAGAGCAUCAUGUUGUAGGUGAACAUUCUGAUGACAUUAAAGAAGGGUUCAAGAAAUAUCCGCAGAUCUCUUCACCCUUGUCUGGUAGAGUAUGAACAGUGGUCUCCGUUGUCUUUGACACCAUAGAAAAGAUAGGAAGAGUUAUAUUUUCCAAACUUUAAAAUGAUAUAUAUUAACGUUUUCAACAUUCCUCUUUUAAAAGCCCAGGUUUCAUUUAAUUGUUCAUCUUCAACUACAGCAAAUUAUGGAAAUUACAAUUAUAAGAAGGAAAAAAAGGCUAAAAAAGGAUGGACAAAAUUCACGAUUCUCCUUGAUUUUGUUUUUCAAUAAAAUUGUAUGUAUCUGUCUGAAAGAUCAGGUGUUCUACCAUUAAAAAGGUGGUUACAUGCUAAUUCUUGAUUUUUAAAAAGUCACAUCCAUUAAGGUGAGUAUUAUUUGAUUUCUAUGGGGAGGAGACAAGAUGGCAGAGUAGAAGGACUUCAGCUUACCUCCCCUCAUGAAAACACCAAAAUCACAGCUAACUGCUGAACAACAAUCGAAAAAAGAUGAGAACCUACCAAAAAGAUACUCUACAUCCAAAGACAAAGAAGAAGCCACACAAGACAGUAGGAGGGGUGCAUUCACAGUAUAAUCAAAUCCCAUAACCACCAGGUGGGUGACCCACAAACUGGAAAAUAAUUAUAUCACAGAGG
This is a long non-coding RNA of Globicephala melas (long-finned pilot whale), 1813 nucleotides long. RefSeq lists it as uncharacterized. NCBI's taxonomy places the organism in Eukaryota, Metazoa, Chordata, Mammalia, Artiodactyla, Delphinidae. The record is from RefSeq and is a predicted model, not a curated record.